This 254-nucleotide ribosomal RNA is filed under the name uncultured bacterium. Its description in RNAcentral is "partial 16S ribosomal RNA". It matches the Rfam family "Bacterial small subunit ribosomal RNA", at positions 524 to 776 of the family's 1533-position model. The record is from RNAcentral.
UACGUAGGGAGCAAGCGUUGUCCGGAUUCAUUGGGCGUAAAGAGCUCGUAGGCGGUUCGAUAAGUCGGGUGUGAAACCUCCAGGCUCAACCUGGAGACGCCACCCGAUACUGUCGUGACUAGAGUCCAGUAGGGGAGCGUGGAAUUCCUGGUGUAGCGGUGAAAUGCGCAGAUAUCAGGAGGAACACCAGCGGCGAAGGCGGCGCUCUGGGCUGGCACUGACGCUGAGGAGCGAAAGCGUGGGGAGCGAACAGG